This 253-nucleotide ribosomal RNA is filed under the name uncultured bacterium. RNAcentral describes it as "partial 16S ribosomal RNA". It matches the Rfam family "Bacterial small subunit ribosomal RNA", at positions 524 to 776 of the family's 1533-position model. The record is from RNAcentral.
UACGAAGGGAGCUAGCGUUGUUCGGAAUCACUGGGCGUAAAGCGCACGUAGGCCGAUUUGUAAGUCAGGGGUGAAAUCCCGGGGCUCAACCUCGGAACUGCCUCUGAUACUGCAAGUCUAGAGUCCGGAAGAGGUGGGUGGAAUUCCUAGUGUAGAGGUGAAAUUCGUAGAUAUUAGGAAGAACACCGGUGGCGAAGGCGGCCCACUGGUCCGGUACUGACGCUGAGGUGCGAAAGCGUGGGGAGCAAACAGG